This is a microRNA precursor of Gorilla gorilla gorilla (western lowland gorilla), 70 nucleotides long. NCBI's taxonomy places the organism in Eukaryota, Metazoa, Chordata, Mammalia, Primates, Hominidae. The record is from Ensembl.
CACAGUCUGACUCAGUGACUCAUGUGCUGGCAGUGGCCACGUAAAUAGAGCUACUGUGUCUGAAAGCAAU